This 78-nucleotide ribosomal RNA is filed under the name Tenacibaculum litoreum. RNAcentral's name for it is "partial 23S ribosomal RNA". Lineage: Bacteria; Pseudomonadati; Bacteroidota; Flavobacteriia; Flavobacteriales; Flavobacteriaceae. The record is from RNAcentral.
GUACAAUAAGCUAAAUAAGGGCGUAUGGAGGAUGCCUAGGCUUUCAGAGGCGAUGAAGGACGCGAUAAGCUGCGAUAA